AUUGAACGCUGGCGGCAGGCUUAACACAUGCAAGUCGAGCGGGGUGAUGGUGCUUGCACUAUCACUUAGCGGCGGACGGGUGAGUAAUGCUUAGGAAUCUGCCUAUUAGUGGGGGACAACGUCUCGAAAGGGAUGCUAAUACCGCAUACGUCCUACGGGAGAAAGCAGGGGAUCACUUGUGACCUUGCGCUAAUAGAUGAGCCUAAGUCGGAUUAGCUAGUUGGGGGGGUAAAGGCCUACCAAGGCGACGAUCUGUAGCGGGUCUGAGAGGAUGAUCCGCCACACUGGGACUGAGACACGGCCCAGACUCCUUCGGGAGGCAGCAGUGGGGAAUAUUGGACAAUGGGGGGAACCCUGAUCCAGCCAUGCCGCGUGUGUGAAGAAGGCCUUAUGGUUGUAAAGCACUUUAAGCGAGGAGGAGGCUCUUUUGGUUAAUACCCAAGAUGAGUGGACGUUACUCGCAGAAUAAGCACCGGCUAACUCUGUGCCAGCAGCCGCCGUAA
This 503-nucleotide ribosomal RNA is filed under the name uncultured bacterium. RNAcentral describes it as "partial 16S ribosomal RNA". It matches the Rfam family "Bacterial small subunit ribosomal RNA", at positions 30 to 523 of the family's 1533-position model. The record is from RNAcentral.